AGCGUAGGUGGCUUGGUAAGUUAUAUGUGAAAGCCCACGGCUUAACCGUGGAAGUGCAUAUAAAACUACUGAGCUAGAGUGUGGGAGAGGUAAGUGGAAUUCCUAGUGUAGCGGUGGAAUGCGUAGAUAUUAGGAGGAACACCAGAGGCGAAGGCGACUUACUGGAACAUAACUGACACUGAGGCUCGAAAGCGUGGGGAGCAAACAGGAUUAGAUACCCUGGUAGUCCACGCCCUAAACGAUGGAUACUAGAUGUGGGGAGAUUCGACUCUUUCCGUAUCGAAGCAAACGCGAUAAGUAUCCCGCCUGGGGAGUACGGCCGCAAGGUUGAA
Molecule: ribosomal RNA, 332 nt
Filed under: uncultured bacterium
Lineage: Bacteria
Description: bacterial SSU rRNA
Rfam family: Bacterial small subunit ribosomal RNA
Source: RNAcentral